This 220-nucleotide ribosomal RNA is filed under the name uncultured bacterium. RNAcentral describes it as "partial 16S ribosomal RNA". It matches the Rfam family "Bacterial small subunit ribosomal RNA", at positions 111 to 334 of the family's 1533-position model. The record is from RNAcentral.
UAAUGUAUGGGGAUCUGCCCGAUAGAGGGGGAUAACUACUGGAAACGGUGGCUAAUACCGCAUAAUGUCUACGGACCAAAGCAGGGGCUCUUCGGACCUUGCGCUAUCGGAUGAACCCAUAUGGGAUUAGCUAGUAGGUGGGGUAAAGGCUCACCUAGGCGACGAUCUCUAGCUGGUCUGAGAGGAUGAUCAGCCACACUGGGACUGAGACACGGCCCAG